GGCUCCAUAGUGUAGUGGUUAGCAUGUCUGCUUUACACGCAGAAGGUCUUGGGUUCGCGCCCCAGGUGGAGCCA
Molecule: transfer RNA, 74 nt
Filed under: Pteropus alecto (black flying fox)
Lineage: Eukaryota; Metazoa; Chordata; Mammalia; Chiroptera; Pteropodidae
Rfam family: tRNA
About the family: Transfer RNA (tRNA) molecules are approximately 80 nucleotides in length. Their secondary structure includes four short double-helical elements and three loops (D, anti-codon, and T loops).
Source: Rfam by way of RNAcentral